GACGAACGCUGGCGGCGUGCUUAACACAUGCAAGUCGUACGGUAAGGCCCUUUCGGGGGUACACGAGUGGCGAACGGGUGAGUAACACGUGCGUAACCUGCCCACAACUUUGGGAUAACGCUAGGAAACUGGUGCUAAUACUGGAUAUGUGCUCCUGCUGCAUGGUGGGGGUUGGAAAGCUCCGGCGGUUGUGGAUGGACUCGCGGCCUAUCAGCUUGUUGGUGGGGUAGUGGCCUACCAAGGCGGCGACGGGUAGCCGGCCUGAGAGGGUGACCGGCCACAUUGGGACUGGGAUACGGCCCAGACUCCUACGGGAGGCAGCAGUGGGGAAUAUUGCACAAUGGGCGCAAGCCUGAUGCAGCAACGCCGCGUGCGGGAUGACGGCCUUCGGGUUGUAAACCGCUUUCAGCAGGGACGAAGCUUUUUGUGACGGUACCUGCAGAAGAAGCACCGGCUAACUACGUG
This 465-nucleotide ribosomal RNA is filed under the name uncultured bacterium. RNAcentral's name for it is "partial 16S ribosomal RNA". It matches the Rfam family "Bacterial small subunit ribosomal RNA", at positions 28 to 507 of the family's 1533-position model. The record is from RNAcentral.